GGGGGAAUCUUGCACAAUGGGGGCAACCCUGAUGCAGCGACGCAGCGUGAGCGAUGAAGGUUUUCGAAUCGUAAAGCUCUGUCCUAUGGGAAGAUAAUGACGGUACCAUAGGAGGAAGCCCCGGCUAACUACGUGCCAGCAGCCGCGGUAAUACGUAGGGGGCGAGCGUUGUCCGGAAUUACUGGGCGUAAAGGGUUCGCAGGCGGCAUGACAAGUCCGAUGUAGAAGGCGAAAGCUCAACUUUCGUAAGCAUCGGAAACUGUCAAGCUUGAGUGAAGGAGAGGCAGAUGGAAUUCCUAGUGUAGCGGUGGAAUGCGUAGAUAUUAGGGAGAAUACCGGUGGCGAAGACGACGUGCUAGACUUCAACUGACGCUAAGGAACGAAAGCGUGGGUAGCAAACAGA
RNAcentral lists this ribosomal RNA (403 nucleotides) under bacterium. RNAcentral describes it as "partial 16S ribosomal RNA". It matches the Rfam family "Bacterial small subunit ribosomal RNA", at positions 355 to 776 of the family's 1533-position model. The record is from RNAcentral.